UCGGGAAUUUUGGGCAAUGGGCGAAAGCCUGACCCAGCAACGCCGCGUGAGGGAUGAAGUAUUUCGGUAUGUAAACCUCGAAAGAAUGGGAAGAAUAAAUGACGGUACCAUUUAUAAGCUCCGGCUAACUACGUGCCAGCAGCCGCGGUAAUACGUAGGGAGCAAGCGUUGUUCGGAUUUACUGGGCGUAAAGGGCGCGUAGGCGGCGCGGUAAGUCACUUGUGAAAUCUCUGAGCUCAACUCAGAAUGGCCAAGUGAUACUGCUGUGCUAGAGUGCGGAAGAGGCAACCGGAAUUCUUGGUGUAGCGGUGAAAUGCGUAGAUAUCAAGAGGAACACCUGAGGCGAAGGCGGGUUGCUGGGCCGACACUGACGCUGAUGCGCGAAAGCCAGGGGAGCAAACG
This 402-nucleotide ribosomal RNA is filed under the name uncultured bacterium. RNAcentral describes it as "bacterial SSU rRNA". It matches the Rfam family "Bacterial small subunit ribosomal RNA", at positions 355 to 774 of the family's 1533-position model. The record is from RNAcentral.